This 64-nucleotide transfer RNA is filed under the name Ceraphron sp. MM-2014. RNAcentral describes it as "tRNA-Gln". The record is from RNAcentral. Lineage: Eukaryota; Metazoa; Arthropoda; Insecta; Hymenoptera; Ceraphronidae.
UAUCUAAUUAUUUUAAUAUAUAAAAAUUUGAUUUUUAGGAUCUUUAUUAGGUUGAAGAGGUAUA